This 254-nucleotide ribosomal RNA is filed under the name uncultured bacterium. RNAcentral's name for it is "partial 16S ribosomal RNA". It matches the Rfam family "Bacterial small subunit ribosomal RNA", at positions 524 to 776 of the family's 1533-position model. RNAcentral also lists the same sequence under 1 other name. The record is from RNAcentral.
UACGAAGGGGGCUAGCGUUGUUCGGAUUUACUGGGCGUAAAGCGCGCGCAGGCGGCUUUGCAAGUCAGGGGUGAAAUCCCAGAGCUCAACUCUGGAAUUGCCUUUGAGACUGUGAGGCUUCGAGUACGGGAGAGGUGAGUGGAAUUCCCAGUGUAGAGGUGAAAUUCGUAGAUAUUGGGAAGAACACCGGUGGCGAAGGCGGCUCACUGGCCCGUUACUGACGCUCAGGCGCGACAGCGUGGGGAUCAAACAGG